Molecule: ribosomal RNA, 249 nt
Filed under: uncultured Actinomycetales bacterium
Lineage: Bacteria; Bacillati; Actinomycetota; Actinomycetes; Actinomycetales
Description: partial 16S ribosomal RNA
Rfam family: Bacterial small subunit ribosomal RNA
Source: RNAcentral
GGGGUGCUCGAGUGGCGAACGGGUGAGUAACACGUUAGUAACCUGCCCUUGACUUUGGGAUAACUUCAGGAAACUGGGGCUAAUACCGGAUAGGAGCUCCUGCUGCAUGGUGGGGGUUGGAAAGUUUCGGCGGUUGGGGAUGGACUCGCGGCUUAUCAGCUUGUUGGUGGGGUAAUGGCUUACCAAGGCUUUGACGGGUAGCCGGCCUGAGAGGGUGACCGGCCACAUUGGGACUGAGAUACGGCCCAG